RNAcentral lists this ribosomal RNA (372 nucleotides) under uncultured organism. RNAcentral describes it as "bacterial SSU rRNA". It matches the Rfam family "Bacterial small subunit ribosomal RNA", at positions 526 to 896 of the family's 1533-position model. The record is from RNAcentral.
CGUAGGUGGCAAGCGUUGUCCGGAAUUAUUGGGCGUAAAGCGCGCGCAGGCGGUUCCUUAAGUCUGAUGUGAAAGCCCCCGGCUCAACCGGGGAAGGUCAUUGGAAACUGGGGAACUUGAGUGCAGAAGAGAAGAGCGGAAUUCCACGCGUAGCGGUGAAAUGCGUAGAGAUGUGGAGGAACACCAGUGGCGAAGGCGGCUCUUUGGUCUGUAACUGACGCUGAGGCGCGAAAGCGUGGGGAGCAAACAGGAUUAGAUACCCUGGUAGUCCACGCCGUAAACGAUGAGUGCUAAGUGUUAGAGGGUUUCCGCCCUUUAGUGCUGCAGCUAACGCAUUAAGCACUCCGCCUGGGGAGUACGGCCGCAAGGCUG